UACGUAGGUCCCGAGCGUUGUCCGGAUUUAUUGGGCGUAAAGCGAGCGCAGGUGGUUUAUUAAGUCUAGUGUAAAAGGCAGUGGCUCAACCAUUGUAUGCAUUGGAAACUGGUAGACUUGAGUGCAGGAGAGGAGAGUGGAAUUCCAUGUGUAGCGGUGAAAUGCGUAGAUAUAUGGAGGAACACCGGUGGCGAAAGCGGCUCUCUGGCCUGUAACUGACGCUGAGGCUCGAAAGCGUGGGGAGCAAACAGG
RNAcentral lists this ribosomal RNA (252 nucleotides) under uncultured bacterium. RNAcentral's name for it is "partial 16S ribosomal RNA". It matches the Rfam family "Bacterial small subunit ribosomal RNA", at positions 524 to 776 of the family's 1533-position model. The record is from RNAcentral.